AUGAAAACCAGCAAAAGGGUUUAGAGACUCAUCAUGUUUGGAAUCUUUUUAAAGCCUCUGGCAAUUCAUAGCACCAUCUUUCCCGUGAGUGAUUGUCAGAUCCAAGGUGAAGGAUCACCGCACAGGACACAAAGUCCCCAGAAACAGCUGCUGUGCCAUGGAUAAGAUGACCUGAACCAGUCUCCAGCUACCAGGAAAGAUGACCUGAACCAGUCUCCAGCCACCAGGAAAAUGACUUGUUGCCAGUGCUACUGCUGCUUCUUCUCCAGGGAGCUGACUGGCGGGACAGUGAAAGACUUGUUACACAAUAGCAAAACAGCAUCCAGGUAUAAA
Molecule: long non-coding RNA, 333 nt
Filed under: Cricetulus griseus (Chinese hamster)
Lineage: Eukaryota; Metazoa; Chordata; Mammalia; Rodentia; Cricetidae
Description: lncRNA (ENSCGRG00015038667.1)
Source: RNAcentral